This 253-nucleotide ribosomal RNA is filed under the name uncultured bacterium. RNAcentral describes it as "partial 16S ribosomal RNA". It matches the Rfam family "Bacterial small subunit ribosomal RNA", at positions 524 to 776 of the family's 1533-position model. The record is from RNAcentral.
UACGUAGGGUGCAAGCGUUGUCCGGAAUUAUUGGGCGUAAAGAGCUUGUAGGCGGUUUGUCGCGUCUGCUGUGAAAUUUCGGGGCUCAACCCCGAACUUGCAGUGGGUACGGGCAGACUAGAGUGUGGUAGGGGAGACUGGAAUUCCUGGUGUAGCGGUGAAAUGCGCAGAUAUCGGGAGGAACACCGGUGGCGAAGGCGGUUCUCUAGACAGUUCCUGACGCUGAGGCACGAAGGUCAGGGGAGCAAACGGG